Molecule: ribosomal RNA, 301 nt
Filed under: uncultured bacterium
Lineage: Bacteria
Description: partial 16S ribosomal RNA
Rfam family: Bacterial small subunit ribosomal RNA
Source: RNAcentral
CAGUAGCCGCGGUAAAACGUAGGUGGCAAGCGUUGUCCGGAAUUAUUGGGCGUAAAGCGCGCGCAGGUGGUUUAAUAAGUCUGAUGUGAAAGCCCACGGCUCAACCGUGGAGGGUCAUUGGAAACUGUUAAACUUGAGUGCAGGAGAGAAAAGUGGAAUUCCUGGUGUAGCGGUGAAAUGCGUAGAGAUUAGGAGGAACACCAGUGGCGAAGGCGGCUUUCUGGACUGCAACUGACGCUGAGGCUCGAAAGCCAGGGGAGCAAAUGGGAUUAGAUACCCGCGUAGUCCCUGUCUCUUAUAC